RNAcentral lists this unclassified non-coding RNA (337 nucleotides) under soil metagenome. Its description in RNAcentral is "partial contains 5.8S ribosomal RNA, internal transcribed spacer 2, and large subunit ribosomal RNA". The stretch from base 1 to 120 matches the Rfam family "5.8S ribosomal RNA", at positions 35 to 154 of the family's 154-position model. The record is from RNAcentral.
GAUGAAGAACGUAGCGAAAUGCGGUAAGUAAUGUGAAUUGCAGAAUUCCGUGAAUCAUCGAAUCUUUGAACGCACAUUGCGCCCCCUGGCAUUCCGGGGGGCAUGCCUGUCCGAGCGUCAUUUCUGCCCUCAAGCACGGCUUGUGUGUUGGGUGUGGUCCCCCCGGGGACCUGCCCGAAAGGCAGCGGCGACGUCCGUCUGGUCCUCGAGCGUAUGGGGCUCUGUCACUCGCUCGGGAAGGACCUGCGGGGGUUGGUCACCACUAUAUUUUACCACGGUUGACCUCGGAUCAGGUAGGAGUUACCCGCUGAACUUAAGCAUAUCAAUAAGCGGAGGA